RNAcentral lists this ribosomal RNA (1152 nucleotides) under uncultured organism. Its description in RNAcentral is "bacterial SSU rRNA". It matches the Rfam family "Bacterial small subunit ribosomal RNA", at positions 109 to 1252 of the family's 1533-position model. The record is from RNAcentral.
AGUAACAGGGGGGUAACGUACCUCGAAGUGAGGGAUAGCCCGGGGAAACUCGAGUUAAUACCUCAUAUGGCCGCGGGAUCUACGGCUCCUGCGGGUAAAGAUUUCGGUCGCUUCGAGAUCGGCCCGCCCCCGAUUAGCUUGUUGGUGAGGUAAUGGCUCACCAAGGCGGCGAUCGGUAGCUGGCCUGAGAGGGUGGUCAGCCACACUGGGACUGAGACACGGCCCAGACUCCUACGGGAGGCAGCAGUCUAGAAGCUUCGGCAAUGGGCGAAAGCCUGACCGAGCGACGCCGCGUGCGGGAUUGAAGGCCUUCGGGUCGUAAACCGCUGUCAGGAGGGAAGAAUGCUCCGGUGGUGAACCGGAGAGCGACGGUACCUCCAGAGGAAGCCCCGGCCAACUCCGUGCCAGCAGCCGCGGUAAUACGGAGGGGGCGAGCGUUAAUCGGAAUUACUGGGCGUAAAGGGUGCGUAGGUGGUUGCGCAAGUCUGGUGUGAAAACUUCACCGCUCAACGGGAAGAUGUCAUUGGAAACUGCGUAACUCGAGCGUGGCAGAGGCGAGCGGAAUUCCGGGUGUAGCGGUGGAAUGUGUAGAUAUCCGGAAGAACACCAGUGGCGAAGGCGGCUCGCUGAGCCACUGCUGACACUGAGGCACGAAAGCGUGGGGAGCGAACGGGAUUAGAUACCCCGGUAGUCCACGCCGUAAACGGUGCGCACUAGGUGUUGGAGGUAUCGACCCCUCCAGUGCCGCAGCUAACGCAUUAAGUGCGCCGCCUGGGGAGUACGGCCGCAAGGCUGAAACUCAAAGGAAUUGACGGGGGCCCGCACAAGCGGUGGAGGAUGUUGUUUAAUUCGAUGCAACGCGAAGAACCUUACCCGGGCUUGAACUGCAAGGUAAACCCCUGGAAACAGGGGCUGUGGUUCGCCACGACCUUGUAGAGGUGCUGCAUGGCUGUCGUCAGCUCGUGUCGUGAGAUGUUGGGUUAAGUCCCGAAACGAGCGCAUCCCCGGUGGUUAGUUGGCAACGGUUCGGCCGGGCAGUCUAGCGAGACUGCCGGUGAUAAACGGGAGGAAGGUGGGGAUGAUGUCAAGUCAUCAUGGCCCUUACGUCCAGGGGUACAAUCGUCUUACAAUGGCUGGGACAUCGAGUCGUGA